AGAAGAAGCAUACAAGAGUGAUAUUGAUUCGGCUCAUUUUUGCAGAAGCUGCAUGAUUAUGAGCCGAAACCAAUACCACACCAUGUGUGUCUACUU
This 96-nucleotide microRNA precursor is filed under the name Olea europaea subsp. europaea. Lineage: Eukaryota; Viridiplantae; Streptophyta; Magnoliopsida; Lamiales; Oleaceae. The record is from RNAcentral.